GUACACUCCUACGGGAGGCAGCAGUGGGGAAUUUUGGACAAUGGGCGAAAGCCUGAUCCAGCAAUGCCGCGUGUGUGAAGAAGGCCUUCGGGUUGUAAAGCACUUUUGUCCGGAAAGAAAUCCUUGGCUCUAAUACAGUCGGGGGAUGACGGUACCGGAAGAAUAAGCACCGGCUAACUACGUGCCAGCAGCCGCGGUAAUACGUAGGGUGCGAGCGUUAAUCGGAAUUACUGGGCGUAAAGCGUGCGCAGGCGGUUUGCUAAGACCGAUGUGAAAUCCCCGGGCUCAACCUGGGAACUGCAUUGGUGACUGGCAGGCUAGAGUAUGGCAGAGGGGGGUAGAAUUCCACGUGUAGCAGUGAAAUGCGUAGAGAUGUGGAGGAAUACCGAUGGCGAAGGCAGCCCCCAGGGCCAAUACUGACGCUCAUGCACGAAAGCGUGGGGAGCAAACAGGAUUAGAAACCCGAGUAGUCCC
Molecule: ribosomal RNA, 474 nt
Filed under: uncultured organism
Description: partial 16S ribosomal RNA
Rfam family: Bacterial small subunit ribosomal RNA
Source: RNAcentral